This 1102-nucleotide long non-coding RNA is filed under the name Capsicum annuum. RNAcentral describes it as "long non-coding RNA (CANN_LNC009819)". The record is from RNAcentral. Lineage: Eukaryota; Viridiplantae; Streptophyta; Magnoliopsida; Solanales; Solanaceae.
AUAAAAACUUAAAACACUUUAGACGUGAUAUACAUUGACAAGUUAUAAAAAUAAUAUAGGUCAUAAGUGUCGACUUUAAUUAACAAUAACCUAAGAGAGUCACACAUUGAUGUUGUAGUCUUGCGUCACUAUGUUAUGCCGAUUUGAUAACGUAGGAACCAUUAUUUAUAUUUUUAUUAAUACAUAUGACUUCUAAUUAAUGAACUAUAUUAAUUUUUAUGUUUAUAUAAAUUUAAACUAGAUAUCUGAAUUUUUAUUUUAAAAAUAUUUCAAUAGUGAUAGUCAAAGUUCAAAUUACUUUGGACAUGAUAAAUAUCGACACAAAAUGAAAAUUAUAUAGUUCAAAAAAAGUCGAUAUUGGUUAAACAUCAAUUCAAGAAAGUCGCACGUUAAUGUUAUGGUCUUGCGAUCCUACGUACUUUAAUUAUUAUAUUUGUUAAUUGGUGAAUUAAAAAUAUAAUUAUUAACUGGUGAAUCAUUAAUUAUAUUUGUUAUUAAUAUGAACUUUAACUACGUAAUUUUUUUUUAUAUAUUUAAAAAAAUCGAACAACAUAUUUAAAUAGUUUNNNNNNNNNNNNNNNNNNNNNNNNNNNNNNNNNNNNNNNNNNNNNUGUUAACUGGUGAAUUAAAAAUAUAAUUAUUAACUGGUGAAUCAUUAAUUCUAUUUGUUAUUAAUAUAAACUUUAACUACGUAAUUUUAUUUUUAUAUUUAAAAAAAUCGAACAACAUAUUUAAAUAGUUUUAAAAUAUAAUUAAGAAAUAUUUCUAUAACGAUUGUCUAAAUUCAAAAUUCUUUAGACAUGAUAGAUAUUAGCACAUUAUAAAAAUCAUAAAGUUCAUAAUUGUUGACCCUAGUAAACAUCAACCUAAAAUAAUCACUCAAUAUAAAUAUUAAGCUAACCAUUGUCAUAAUUUGUUAGCACUCUAAAUAAAAAUUAACUAUAUCCACACUUAGUUGUUUUCACAUUUCUUAAUAACCUGAAGUAGAAAUAUUGAUUAAUUAUAAUAUUUUGUUUGAAAUAAUUUACUGAGGUUACUUUUGCUAAAUUACCUUUUAUCUUGUGAAAAAUAAUUUUUUUUUUCACUUACACUAGACUUGUUG